CCUACGGGAGGCAGCAGUGAGGAAUAUUGGUCAAUGGGCGUAAGCCUGAACCAGCCAAGUCGCGUGAGGGAUGAAGGUUCUAUGGAUCGUAAACCUCUUUUAUAAGGGAAUAAAGUGCGGUACGUGUCCCGUUUUGUAUGUACCUUAUGAAUAAGGAUCGGCUAACCCCGUGCCAGCAGCCGCGGUAAUACGGGGGAUCCGAGCGUUUUCCGGAUUUAUUGGGUUUAAAGGGUGCGUAGGCGGCCUUUUAAGUCAGCGGUGAAAGUCUGUGGCUCAACCAAAGAAUUGCCGUUGAAACUGGGAGGCUUGAGUAGGGUGGAGGCAGGGGGAAUGCGGGGUGUAGCGGUGAAAUGGUUA
Molecule: ribosomal RNA, 357 nt
Filed under: uncultured bacterium
Lineage: Bacteria
Description: partial 16S ribosomal RNA
Rfam family: Bacterial small subunit ribosomal RNA
Source: RNAcentral